Molecule: ribosomal RNA, 465 nt
Filed under: uncultured bacterium
Lineage: Bacteria
Description: partial 16S ribosomal RNA
Rfam family: Bacterial small subunit ribosomal RNA
Source: RNAcentral
GAUGAACGCUGGCGGCGUGCUUAACACAUGCAAGUCGAACGGAAAGGCUCCUGCUUGCAGGGGUACUCGAGUGGCGAACGGGUGAGUAACACGUGGGUGAUCUGCCCUGCACUUCGGGAUAAGCCUGGGAAACUGGGUCUAAUACCGGAUAGGAACACAUUAUGGAUGGUGUGGUGGAAAGUGUUUCGGUGUGGGAUGAGCUCGCGGCCUAUCAGCUUGUUGGUGGGGUGAUGGCCUACCAAGGCGUCGACGGGUAGCCGGCCUGAGAGGGUGUCCGGCCACAUUGGGACUGGGGUACGGCCCAGACUCCUACGGGAGGCAGCGGUGGGGGAUAUUGCACGAUGGGCGCAAGCCUGAUGCAGCGACGCCGCGUGGGGGAUGACGGCCUUCGGGUUGUAACCUCCUUUCGCUAGGGACGAAGCGCAAGUGACGGUACCUGGAGAAGAAGCACCGGCUAACUACGUG